RNAcentral lists this long non-coding RNA (3663 nucleotides) under Sus scrofa (pig). RNAcentral describes it as "lncRNA (ENSSSCG00000059940.1)". The record is from RNAcentral. Lineage: Eukaryota; Metazoa; Chordata; Mammalia; Artiodactyla; Suidae.
GAUAGUUUGUCCUAAGGAUAGUUUAGUCCCAAUACUGAAGUGUGAGCUUUCUGGGAUCUUUACUGUGUUCCCUGUGUGUUCAGUAAGGUCUUUCCCCUCUGACUGUUAUAAACUCAAAAGUCUUGCUCCUGCCCUGUGUGAGCUCUGGGAACUGGUAUGCCUGCAGUGUCCUGGUACUCUUUCCUUCUGUGGUCGUUGUUCUGUGCCCAGCAUCAUGGAGGACUGGCUUAAGCACGUGCAUCUUAGCAUUAAGCCAAAUUUUCUAGCGGAUUUGUCUGCAGUUUUAUGGAAGUCAUUCUUGCGAAGCACUCUCUUUUCUGGGACACUGCUCCAUGCAUUUCAGCCACCUCUACCCCCUAACUCUGAUUUCUGUCUCGUGAACUCAGUGAAAACACAGAGUUCUUUCUAAAUUUCUCUUCCCUGAGCCAUGGGCCAGAAAGUGCCUAUAGACAGAAAGCCUAGGUGAUUCACCCUGUUUUCCUUCUUUUGGUGACCACAUUCCUGCCCUUCUUGUGCUAUAUUCGAAUAUAUAUUUUGUCUGACUUUAUAGCUGUUUAUCAUAAGAAUACAAGUCCUGUUCCAGUUACUCCAUCAUGACCAGAAGCAAAAAUAUCUAAUUUUUAAGGGGUAGUUCUCCAGCUGAAAUUAUCUAAAAAUAAUUCCCAUACAUCUAUUUCUAAACUAUAUACCCAUAAAUAUUAGAUUGAAUUACACAAAUAAAUAAAAUUAUGUAAGUAAAACAUUACUUUCUUGAGAUAGUUUGAGCUAUAAACAAAUAAUUGCCAUAUGUACUAGAAAGAUAGUUUUGAAUAUGUCCCACUUUUGGAUGGCCAUGUUACAGACUUGGUUCUACCACUUCAUAGUUCUAUAAUUUGAGAAGAACUCAUGCAAUAAAGAAGACAUGGAAUGAAGAGGUUUGGAGGUAAAGACCCAUCCAUAAAUAGAAGAGCUGGGGUGGGGGGCAGUGAGAGGUGAGGGGGUUGAGUGCUGAGGAAAGGUGUUACAAAUCUGGUAGCAUCUGGAAUCACCAUGCCGAAUUAGUUAAGUAUUCUGGGAACUGAGCAUCAGUGGGACUAUCUUGAGAAUGAAAUCCAUUAAAUGAAUUUGCUUCUGGACUCUUUGUUCUAUAAUUUUAAGUGAUCCUGUCAGUUGGAAACUCAUCUGAUGAUGAACUUGACCUUUAGUAAACCUCAGUGUACUCACUAAUGUAUCAAAAGAAUUACUGGUAAUGCAUCCUGAUGAUAGAUUAACACACUGUAAUAUGCCACUGGAGUAGAGCUUUCAUACUCUAUUCCUCCAAAAUAAUGUCCAGGGAAUGAUAGGUUCUGAAGAUGAUUCCAUUUAAUUAGCCUGGAAAGUGCAAUGAUACCAUGAACUGUUUUAAUUCUUUCAGUAUAAGAUGAUUUGGAGAUAGGAUUAGGAUGAAGAAGUUAUCUGUGGCCCCUGGAAAGAGACUUUUCCAUUCUCUGGACUUUCCCAAUAGGAAAGUUUCCAUUUUGGAGUUACCUCGCUUUGGGUAUUCUCAGUAAUCAACCCGAAUGGGUUCUUUGCCUAGGAAUAGAUAGCGAGCAUAUACCAGAGAUGUUGUUAAGAAGUUAAUUUUUUUUUUUUAAUGGAGCCUGGUCAGGCAACCACACAUGUGAUGUGAUACAGAAUUACUUUUAUUCUAUUUAAGGGGUUCAAGAUGGAGAGGUAGGGCUGACAAAAUAAUUCAGGAGUAAGACCGAGGUGAUGAACAGAUUUCAUUUUGUGCAUUAUUUCUGAUUAAUUUGGUAGCAGUUACCUAAAAGGUUGUUUUGAGAAAGUUUUUGAGGCAGUAGCCAGGCUCUGUGGGAAAAUGUGUGAUGAUCAAUUAAUGGUGACUGCUUUCUGAGUCUGAGUAGAAGAGGAGAAAGUGGAGUGGAAACACUUUUAUUUUUCUUUCUUUCUUUCUUUCUUUCUUUCUUUCUUUCUUUCUUUCUUUCUUUCUUUCUUUCUUUCUUUCCUUCCUUCCUUCCUUCCUUCCUUCCUUCCUUCCUUCCUUCUUUCUUUUUUUGUUAUCCCUUGCAAGUAGAAACUAGGAUUGCUAUAAAUUAUAUUUUGAGAAAAGAAAAGCAAAGUCAUGGGGCACAUGAGUACAGAGUCAGAUUACUGUGCUAUAUUACACUGUGUUUGAGAGUUAAGCUCUAAAAGUUCAAUAUGGCCCAAGUGAGGAAGGUGCUGUAUGUGCAUCAGUGAGAGAAGAUAACAGACUGUGGCUGACUCUGUUAAAUGGAAAAUAACAAAGUGAAUUUUAGAUUACCUUGCAGAUGAUUUUUUUGUUUUCUUUUUAGGGCUGCACUUGUGGCGUAUGGAAGUUCUCAGGCUUGGGAUUGAAUCAGAGCUGCAGCUGCUGGCCUACACUACAGCCACAGCAAUGAUGGAUCCUUAACCCCCUGAGUGAGGCCAGGGAAUCAAACCCACAUCCUCUAGUUACUAGUUGGGCUCAUUACUGCUGAGCCACAACAGGAUCUCCAGUAUUCAAACUCUUAAACUUAUAAGUUCAGAAACUUUACUAUUUCCUUAAGAUUCCUGGUUCAUCUUAUUAUUCUAUUUAUAAGUCAAGCAAAUUUUGAUGAUCAUCUUGAUUAAUUUGGUUUAAUUUGCAGGCUUAGUCUAUUAAGCUGAUUCAAGUAUUUUAUACUUCACUUUUUCUAUUUCUUUUUUAAACAGUUCAAAGUUACAGCUAAUAACCAAAACUUUCUAAAAUAUCUAAACAAUUCCAGAAAAAAAUAAUAAAUUACAUGUGGUGAAUCUAAAACUAUUUACCAUAUAUAUAUAUGUGUGUGUGUGUGUGUGUGUGUGUGUGUGUGUGUGACUAGGUCAACUUUGCUGUACAUUAGAAAUUGACAGAACACUAUAAUGGAAAAAAUAAAAAUCAUUAAAAAAUAAAUAAAACUAUUUACCAAGAUUAAAUACCAUUUUAAUUUUCAAACAGAAAAAGUCUAAGGAUAAUUGCUCUAUGAACAUAGUUUAAUCUGUCAGAUCCUUUGAAGUUUCAAAUUCUUUUGAACAUUAGAGAGAUAAUUUAAAUAUGAAAUAUAAACUCCUAAAUUCAAAUUAAGUCCCUAUCAUUUUGUAACUUCUUUGAUUUAAAAGCAAGUGAAGAUUGCUUGCAUUAAUUUGGGAUUUAAAAAAAAUUCCCCUAUAAAGAACCCUAUGGAAGGUAGAUAUUAAAUCUUACAUGGGGUAUUAAGGUAUUAAGCUGAAAAGAUAUUUAUCCUAGGAUUCCCAAGGUCCACGGGUAAUUCUAGAUUUCCAUGAAAUGUAGUUUAUAAAUGUAGUUUUUGUGCCAAAUUUGAGCUAUAACUAUUCAGAAUGGAGAAGGCUUCUGGCUCCUGGGAUUACCAGUUUUUUCAAAAAUUGAGGUAAGAUCCAUAUAAUAUAGAAUUAAUCAUUUAAAGUAUAAAAAUCAGAGUUCCUGUCAUGGUGCAGUGGAAACGAAUCUGACUAGGAACCAUGAGAUUGCAGGUUUGAUUCCUGGCCUCACUUAGUGGGUUAAGGAUCUGGUGUUGCCAUGGGCUGUGGUGUAGGUCGCAGGUGCGGCUCAGAUCUGGCAUUGCUGUGGCUCUGGUGUAGGCCUGCAGCAACAGCUCCAAAUGGACCCCUAGCCAGGGAACCUCCAUAUGCUGUGGGUGUGGCCCU